AACCCACCUCUUGCAUCAGUGUAACGUGGAUGUGAGACAUGGAGGCAAAGGAGCUUUAAGGUUUAAUGACUGCCCGAUUGAAUUUUGGGCCUGCAUGGUGGUUGUAGCCCCUUCAUUUUGGCCAAUUUCUUCCAUUUGGAAUGGCUGUACUUAUCUACUGCCUCUACCCCCAUUAUAUCUAUGUGGCUCCUCAAUCAAGGGAUAUAAUCUAUUUCUGCUCUCUUAAAUUGAAUUUGCUUUGUGACUUGCUUUGGCUAAUGGGACAUCAGCAAACAUGACAGUAACCUGCUGAAUAAAGAGAGAGACAUGUGACCAUCACCCUAGAGACAUCAGGGCAAUUUUCAAAAACAAUCCACAUUUUAGGAUGAGAAAACUGACAUCUUGAGAAGUUGGGGACUUUUUCAAAAGUCAAAUCAAGGUGGUGGUUGUCAACAGUGAUCUCAGAGGCCGGUUAGAAAGCGGAUGCUUUACAGCUAGCCUGCAGAAAACUGCCAAUAAUCCUCAUCCUCUUACCUCUCAAGCCUCUCUUAGAAUGGCAUUAUUUUCAAGGUUCCACUCUGACUAUAACCAUCUGGCAUUUAUAAAGUCGGCUCUCAGGUGAUGAUGUAAACAUCAAUGGAAAGUCAACAUCAAACAAAAAUUGUGUAAAGUCAAUUUGAUACCUAUCCUUUUAUUCUGGUUUCUUUUUUCCCCCCUUCAUCUUAGUAAUCCUACACAUUUGCAGUGAAUUUAGUGAAGUAUGAGGUAGCAGAGAAACAACUACAUGCUUGACUUAUCCGAAACAUAAAGUCAUUGAUGGAAGUGCAAAGGUUACUGAUGGGCCUCUCCUUAGCGGAUAAUACUUGCUGCACAGAAAAUAUGGAGUAAUUUGAAGCAAGGUAACUAUGUGUUUGUCUGUGUAUUUAUUCAGCAUCCGCUCCCACUCAGUGGUCGGUAUUAAGGAUACCAUAUGAACAAGAUAACACUGUCCCUCUAUUGAGAGAUUUCAGUCUAGGUGCAGGACUAAGCAAUUACAGGAAAGUCUGAUAUGUACCUUGAUAGAGGAGAGAGAGAAGAGCACAGCAGCGGCACCUAACUGAGGUAAGUAAAGUAAUGGACAAUCAGUACCUGGAGAAAGCUGAGAUCUGAGGGAAGAGCAUGUCGUAGUCCAGUGAAAGACUGUGGCAGUGUAUGGGGGGCAGGAGGAACAUUUUGAGUGGAUGCCUACAGAUCACAGGAGUGAGACAGAUAAGUGACAGGGACCCACAUGCCAAAAAGAUGACUAAGAAAGAAUUAAAACUUCAGAGAUGUUCCAAUAAAAUAAAAAAUAAAAGUACAUGCUUAUCACUCAGCUUUAACAAUCAAUUUGGGGCUAUAUUAUUUCAUCUCCUUCUUCCUAUGCUGCUUUCCCCAUCCCAGAAUAUUCUGAAGCAAAUCCAGGACAUAUAAUUUCAUCUGUAAAUUAUUCAAGAAUGCAUCUCUAAAAUAUAGGGGCUUCUUUAUACCCUUAUGAUACCUAAAAAUUAAGAAAAUACAUUUUGAAAAUGAAUUUAGUGUGAAAUUUGAUACAGCAACUGUUAGGAAGAAAUCAACUAAUCUGAAAGAGAUGAAAAUCUUUUAGCCUGCAGAAUCACUUGGUCCCAGUGUUGAAACUACAUUGGCGUGAGAAAUGCUUUAUAUAUAUGAUAAAUUUCAAGCACUCACAGAUACACAGGGGAAUAAAACCAUACAAAUGGCUUUCUUUCUUUCAUAACCGUGAAAAAUAGACUUGGUGGUUAAAUGACAAAUGUUAAUUUUGAAAGCACCAUUAAAAAAUAUAUUCCAUGACGUCUCAAAUAUCUAUUGUAGCAAGGAUUACUAC
Molecule: long non-coding RNA, 1840 nt
Organism: Pan troglodytes (chimpanzee)
Lineage: Eukaryota; Metazoa; Chordata; Mammalia; Primates; Hominidae
Exons: 4
Source: RefSeq, a predicted model, not a curated record